UACGGAGGGAGCUAGCGUUGUUCGGAAUUACUGGGCGUAAAGCGCGCGUAGGCGGCUUUGUAAGUUAGAGGUGAAAGCCCGGGGCUCAACCCCGGAACUGCCUUUAAGACUGCAUCGCUUGAAUCCGGGAGAGGUGAGUGGAAUUCCGAGUGUAGAGGUGAAAUUCGUAGAUAUUCGGAAGAACACCAGUGGCGAAGGCGGCUCACUGGACCGGCAUUGACGCUGAGGCGCGAAAGCGUGGGGAGCAAACAGG
Molecule: ribosomal RNA, 253 nt
Filed under: uncultured bacterium
Lineage: Bacteria
Description: partial 16S ribosomal RNA
Rfam family: Bacterial small subunit ribosomal RNA
Source: RNAcentral